CGGACGGGUGAGUAACGCGUGAGAAUUUGCCUUUAGGAGGGGGACAACAACUGGAAACGGUUGCUAAUACCCCAUAUGCUUUCGAGUGAAAUGGAUUUUUCCGCCUAAAGAGAAGCUUGCGGCUGAUUAGCUUGUUGGUGAGGUAAUGGCUCACCAAGGCGACGAUCAGUAUCUGGUUUGAGAGGACGAUCAGACACACUGGAACUGGGACACGGUCCAGACUCCUACGGGAGGCAGCAGUGGGGAAUUUUCCGCAAUGGGCGAAAGCCUGACGGAGCAAUACCGCGUGAGGGAUGACGGCCUAUGGGUUGUAAACCUCUUUUUUCAGGGAGGAAUAAGUGACGUGUACCUGAAGAAUAAGCAUCGGCUAACUCCGUGCCAGCAGCCGCGGUAAGACGGAGGAUGCAAGUGUUAUCCGGAAUCACUGGGCGUAAAGCGUCUGUAGGUGGUUUAAUAAGUCAACUGUUAAAUCUUGAAGCUCAACUUCAAAAUCGCAGUCGAAACUAUUAGACUUGAGUAUAGUAGGGGUAAAGGGAAUUUCCAGUGGAGCGGUGAAAUGCGUAGAGAUUGGAAAGAACACCGAUGGCGAAGGCACUUUACUGGGCUAUUACUAACACUGAGAGACGAAAGCUAGGGUAGCAAAUGGGAUUAGAUACCCCAGUAGUC
RNAcentral lists this ribosomal RNA (666 nucleotides) under uncultured diatom. RNAcentral's name for it is "SSU rRNA". It matches the Rfam family "Bacterial small subunit ribosomal RNA", at positions 99 to 795 of the family's 1533-position model. The record is from RNAcentral. Lineage: Eukaryota; Bacillariophyta.